UUGGUUUCGUAACUAGUGAUAUCAGUAGUUUCCAGGGGUAUUACAUCAAACAUCUUCAACCCUAAAAUCAUUAGAUGUAAUUUUGAGAUGAAAGUUUUAAACAUAUAACUCUUCAGAUGUGUUGUGCAGAUUAUUUCAGCAAUUUCUGGAGGAGUUACUGAUUUUUUCUUUCAUAUCAUUGGUUAAACAUUGCUAUUUUUAGUUGCUUUUUGACAGCAUCAUAUUCUGUAAUGACAUUUUUUUCUUGUUGUGUUUCUCUUAUGUUCAAAUAUAUGUGGGCUCAAAAGCAAAUAAAUGUGUUCGUCUCAGCGCCCUCAUUAUAUUGACUAUUGGACAAUCCAAGUAUUUUUUUCUUGUAGUUUCUCUAUCUAUUCUUAGUUUUGUAGAUUUAAUUACUUCCGAGCUGAAGAACAUUUGCCUUUUUAUCAAUUUUCUAUUGUAAUGCCAGUGUAAUCUUUGUUGCACUUAUAAUUCUUUUAUGUUGUUUCUAAUUCAGGCUGGAGUUGAAGUGAGGAAGAGCUAUAAUUCUGUUAUUUGGUGGUAGUGACUGAAUUUUCUAUAAGUUUGCAAUGGCACUUGGAAAUACUCAUCUUUUUUGGACUUAUUCAUCGUAGAGAGACAACAUUGUUUAUAAUGGGAAUAGUUGGCAAGGAGUUUGAAGAUAGUAUCUUGUGAUUCUUUUGUUUUCAUGUGUAGAUACCUUGACAUGUAUUUAUGAAGUGUUUUUUUUGUAUUAUGACCUUUAAGUAAUGGAAAGUUCUUAUAUUACUCUUCUUGAGAAA
Long non-coding RNA from Nicotiana tabacum (common tobacco), 782 nucleotides. RefSeq lists it as uncharacterized. Lineage: Eukaryota; Viridiplantae; Streptophyta; Magnoliopsida; Solanales; Solanaceae. The record is from RefSeq and is a predicted model, not a curated record.